AGAGUUUGAUCAUGGCUCAGGAUGAAUGCUGGCGGCGUGCCUAACACAUGCAAGUCGAGCGGCAGCGAGGGGUGCUUGCACCCCGUCGGCGAGCGGCGAACGGCUGAGUAACGCGUAGGAAUUUGCCCCAAAGUGAGGAAUAACUGCCCGAAAGGGUAGCUAAUGCCGCAUAUGGUCUUCGGAUUAAAGGAUUUAUCCGCUUUGGGAGAAGCCUGCGUUGGAUUAGGUUGUUGGUAGGGUAAUGGCCUACCAAGCCGACGAUCCAUAGCUGGUCUGAGAGGAUGAUCAGCCAGACUGGAACUGAGACACGGUCCAGACUCCUACGGGAGGCAGCAGUGAGGAAUCUUCCACAAUGGGCGAAAGCCUGAUGGAGCAACGCCGCGUGAAGGAUGAAGGCCUUCGGGUUGUAAACUUCUUUUAUGAGUGAAGAAUAUGACGGUAACUCAUGAAUAAGCACCGGCUAACUGCGUGCCAGCAGCCGCGGUCAUACGUAGGGUGCAAGCAUUAUCCGGAGUGACUGGGCGUAAAGAGUUGCGUAGGCGGUUUAAUAAGUGAAUAGUGAAACCUGGUGGCUCAACCAUACAGACUAUUAUUCAAACUGUUAAACUCGAGAAUGGUAGAGGUAACUGGAAUUUCUUGUGUAGGAGUGAAAUCCGUAGAUAUAAUAAGGAACACCAAUGGCGUAGGCAGGUUAUUGGGCCAUUUCUGACGCUAAGGCACGAAAGCGUGGGGAGCGAACCGGAUUAGAUACCCCGGUAGUCCAA
This 764-nucleotide ribosomal RNA is filed under the name uncultured bacterium. Its description in RNAcentral is "bacterial SSU rRNA". It matches the Rfam family "Bacterial small subunit ribosomal RNA", at positions 8 to 798 of the family's 1533-position model. The record is from RNAcentral.